AUCUAGCUGAUGAGUCCCGAAUAGGACGAAGCCCGUGUCUUGGAU
Schistosoma curassoni is the source of this 45-nucleotide non-coding RNA. The record is from Rfam. Lineage: Eukaryota; Metazoa; Platyhelminthes; Trematoda; Strigeidida; Schistosomatidae.